GACGAACGCUGGCGGCGUGCUUAACACAUGCAAGUCGAACGGAGUUAAAGAUUCGGUUUUAACUUAGUGGCGAACGGGUGAGUAACGCGUGAGGAACCUGCCUCUCAGUGGGGGACAACAGUUGGAAACGACUGCUAAUACCGCAUAAAACCGUAGUACCGCAUGGUACAUCGGUCAAAGAUUUAUUGCUGAGAGAUGGCCUCGCGUCUGAUUAGCUAGUUGGUGGGGUAACGGCCCACCAAGGCGACGAUCAGUAGCCGGACUGAGAGGUUGACCGGCCACAUUGGGACUGAGAUACGGCCCAGACUCCUACGGGAGGCAGCAGUGGGGAAUAUUGGGCAAUGGGCGAAAGCCUGACCCAGCAACGCCGCGUGAAGGAAGAAGGCCUUCGGGUUGUAAACUUCUUUUACCAGGGACGAACACAAUGACGGUACCUGGAGAAAAGCAACGGCUAACUACGUG
This 462-nucleotide ribosomal RNA is filed under the name uncultured bacterium. Its description in RNAcentral is "bacterial SSU rRNA". It matches the Rfam family "Bacterial small subunit ribosomal RNA", at positions 28 to 507 of the family's 1533-position model. The record is from RNAcentral.